AGCGGUAGUUCAGUCGGUUAGAAUACCGGCCUGUCACGCCGGGGGUCGCGGGUUCGAGUCCCGUCC
Molecule: transfer RNA, 66 nt
Filed under: Pseudomonas oryzihabitans
Lineage: Bacteria; Pseudomonadati; Pseudomonadota; Gammaproteobacteria; Pseudomonadales; Pseudomonadaceae
Rfam family: tRNA
About the family: Transfer RNA (tRNA) molecules are approximately 80 nucleotides in length. Their secondary structure includes four short double-helical elements and three loops (D, anti-codon, and T loops). Further hydrogen bonds mediate the characteristic L-shaped molecular structure. tRNAs have two regions of fundamental functional importance: the anti-codon, which is responsible for specific mRNA codon recognition, and the 3' end, to which the tRNAs corresponding amino acid is attached (by aminoacyl-tRNA synthetases). tRNAs cope with the degeneracy of the genetic code in two manners: having more than one tRNA (with a specific anti-codon) for a particular amino acid; and 'wobble' base-pairing, i.e. permitting non-standard base-pairing at the 3rd anti-codon position.
Source: RNAcentral